This 497-nucleotide ribosomal RNA is filed under the name uncultured bacterium. RNAcentral's name for it is "partial 16S ribosomal RNA". It matches the Rfam family "Bacterial small subunit ribosomal RNA", at positions 28 to 507 of the family's 1533-position model. The record is from RNAcentral.
GAUGAACGCUGGCGGCGUGCCUAAUACAUGCAAGUCGAGCGAACGGACGAGAAGCUUGCUUCUCUGAUGUUAGCGGCGGACGGGUGAGUAACACGUGGAUAACCUACCUAUAAGACUGGGAUAACUUCGGGAAACCGGAGCUAAUACCGGAUGAUAUUUUGAACCGCAUGGUUCAAAAGUGAAAGACGGUCUUGCUGUCACUUAUAGAUGGAUCCGCGCUGCAUUAGCUAGUUGGUAAGGUAACGGCUUACGAAGGCAAGGAUGCAUAGCCGACCUGAGAGGGUGGUCGGCGACAUUGGAACUGAGACACGGUCCAGACUCCUACGGGAGGCAGCAGUAGGCAAUCUUCCGCAAUAGGCGAGAGCCUUACGGAGCAGCGCCGCGUGAGUGAUGAAGGUCUUCCGAUCGUAAAACUCUGUUAUUAGGGAAGAACAUAUGUGUAAGUAACUGUGCACAUCUUGACGGUACCUAAUCAGAAAGCCACGGCUAACUACGUG